Molecule: ribosomal RNA, 462 nt
Filed under: Triticum aestivum (bread wheat)
Lineage: Eukaryota; Viridiplantae; Streptophyta; Magnoliopsida; Poales; Poaceae
Description: partial small subunit ribosomal RNA
Source: RNAcentral
AUGGAGGGAGAGCCGAUGCGUGUGCAGUUCGAGCAGUGGGCCGUCGACGCCAGGGUCGACCUCGUCUUUGCCGGGCACGUGCACGCGUAUGAGUGCAACCACCGGGUGUCCAACAUCAAGUACGACAUCACAGACGGGAGGUGCAAGCCGGUGCGGGACCACCGCGCGCCCGUGUACAUGACCAUCGGUGACGGAGGCAACAUCGAGGGCCUUGCCGACAGCGUGACAGAGCCACAACCGAGCUACUCGGCCUUCCGAGAAGCCAGCUUUGGGCAUGCCUUGCUGGACAUCAAGAACCGCACACACGCCUACUACGCCUGGUACCGCAACGCCGACGGCGUCAAGGUCCCCGCCAACACCGUGUGGUUCACCAACCGUUACUACAUGCCCAACCAGUUAGGAAUUGCAGCUUGCCGCACCCGGCAGCGGUGCUGCCGAGUACGGUCAUAUCCAAUCCGGUAA